This 422-nucleotide ribosomal RNA is filed under the name uncultured eukaryote. RNAcentral's name for it is "bacterial SSU rRNA". It matches the Rfam family "Eukaryotic small subunit ribosomal RNA", at positions 20 to 434 of the family's 1831-position model. The record is from RNAcentral.
GUAGUCAUAUGCUUGUCUCAAAGACUAAGCCAUGCAUGUGUUAGUAUGAACUGAUUUUAUAUAGUGAAACUGCGAAUGGCUCAUUACAUCAGUUAUAGUUUAUUUGAUGGAUACGCGUUCAGCACUACAUGGAUACCUGUAGUAACAUAGAGCUAAUACAUGCAUAAGAAUCUGACUUUACGGAAGGAUUUGCACUUAUUAGAUACCAAACCAAUAUCCUCUCGGGGAUUUAUUAGGUGAAUCACAAUAACUGAACAAAUCGCAUAGUCUUGCACUGGCGAUGUAUCAAUCAAGUUUCUGCCCUAUCAACUUGAUGUUAGUGUAUUGUACUAACAUGGUUUUUACGGGUAACAGAGGAUUAGGGUUCGAUCCUGGAGAAGGAGCAUGAGAAAUGGCUACUAUUCUAAGGAAAGCAGCAGGCG